AGUGAACGCUGGCGGUAGGCCUAACACAUGCAAGCCGAACGGCAGCACAGUAAGAGCUUGCUCUUACGGGUGGCGAGUGGCGGGCGGGUGAGGAAUACAUCGGAAUCUACUUUUUCGUGGGGGAUAACGUAGGGAAACUUACGCUAAUACCGCAUACGACCUACGGGUGAAAGCAGGGGAUCUUCGGACCUUGCGCGAUUGAAUGAGCCGAUGUCGGAUUAGCUAGUUGGCGGGGUAAAGGCCCACCAAGGCGACGAUCCGUAGCUGGUCUGAGAGGAUGAUCAGCCACACUGGAACUGAGACACGGUCCAGACUCCUACGGGAGGCAGCAGUGGGGAAUAUUGGACAAUGGGCGCAAGCCUGAUCCAGCCAUACCGCGUGGGUGAAGAAGGCCUUCGGGUUGUAAAGCCCUUUUGUUGGGAAGGAAAAGCAGCAGGUUAACACCCCGCUGUUCUGACGGUACCCAAAGAAUAAGCACCGGCUAACUUCGUG
This 492-nucleotide ribosomal RNA is filed under the name uncultured bacterium. RNAcentral describes it as "partial 16S ribosomal RNA". It matches the Rfam family "Bacterial small subunit ribosomal RNA", at positions 29 to 507 of the family's 1533-position model. The record is from RNAcentral.